This 104-nucleotide microRNA precursor is filed under the name Marmota monax (woodchuck). Lineage: Eukaryota; Metazoa; Chordata; Mammalia; Rodentia; Sciuridae. The record is from RNAcentral.
AUAUGAAUAUCCUAGAGAUCUUAUUAAAAUGUGGAUUCUGAUUGAAUAGGUCUGGGUGAGAUUUGAGAUUCUCCUUUUCUAACAAGCUCCCAGGUGAUGCCAGC